Molecule: long non-coding RNA, 203 nt
Filed under: Lathyrus oleraceus (garden pea)
Lineage: Eukaryota; Viridiplantae; Streptophyta; Magnoliopsida; Fabales; Fabaceae
Description: Pisum sativum (pea) long non-coding RNA (PSAT_LNC019345)
Source: RNAcentral
UCAGUAGCAGCUCUAUAAGUAGCAAGGGCUACUUUUUGGAGCCAUACUUUUACACCUCCAUACUUUUGUACUUUUUAGAUAUUUUUCCAGCAUUGCUCUUGGGAUCUUUUGUGACCUAGAAAUCAUUUCUCUUCAUCUCUUAACAAUCUUUCACAAAAAGAAGGUGGAUUCCCAUCCAAUCUCGAUUAUUCGACUCGGAUGUU